Helianthus annuus (common sunflower) is the source of this 650-nucleotide long non-coding RNA. RefSeq lists it as uncharacterized. The record is from RefSeq and is a predicted model, not a curated record. The transcript has 3 exons. Lineage: Eukaryota; Viridiplantae; Streptophyta; Magnoliopsida; Asterales; Asteraceae.
CAAAUUUCUAAUUAGAUGGAAGCGAUUGUGGCUGCUUAUCAUAUUUUUAGAAAUGUUGCUCAGCCUGGUUUCAUGUACAUUGAAGAUAUGGAUUUAAGGAGAUUUAUGACCAUUUGGCGCUGGUUCAGUUUUUUUUAUCUUUUGCAUUUAAUUGAUGGACUAUUUGUUAUUUGACAGUUGAUAGUUGAAGAGAUGAAUAUCUUAACGACGGUUUUCUUGAGAUAUGACAACGAGAAGAUAUAUAAUCCGAAUUCGGUUUUGUCUACAAAGUCCAUUAGAAAUUUCUAUAGAAGUUCAGAUAUGUCAGAUGGUGUCGAAUUCUCUAUUGACUUUACAACACCUAUUGAGAAGAUUGGGCUAUUAAAAGACAAGAUGAAAAAGUAUUUGGAGUAGAAUCCCCAAUUCUGGCACUUGAAUCACAGUUUUGUCGUGAAGGAGAUCGAAAAUGUGAACAAGAUAAAAAUGGCGAUGUUUUCAAUCAUACGAUGAAUUUUCAAGAGUUUGGUGAAAAGAACAGGAGGAGAAGUGAACUGGUUUUAGCGCUGAAGAAGUUAUUUGAAGAGCUGAAGAUCAAAUGCAAUCUUCUUCCCCAAGACAUUCAUUUGCAUAAACCGAAAACUGCAAGCGGGCCCACCAAAUAAUUACACAAC